RNAcentral lists this unclassified non-coding RNA (253 nucleotides) under uncultured Cellvibrionales bacterium. RNAcentral describes it as "contains 16S-23S intergenic spacer region". It matches the Rfam family "Bacterial small subunit ribosomal RNA", at positions 524 to 776 of the family's 1533-position model. Lineage: Bacteria; Pseudomonadati; Pseudomonadota; Gammaproteobacteria; Cellvibrionales. The record is from RNAcentral.
UACGGAGGGUGCGAGCGUUAAUCGGAAUUACUGGGCGUAAAGCGCGCGUAGGCGGCGUGGUCGGUUGGGUGUGAAAGCCCCGGGCUUAACCUGGGAACUGCAUUCAAUACUGCCAGGCUAGAGUAUGAGAGAGGGAGGUAGAAUUCCAUGUGUAGCGGUGAAAUGCGUAGAUAUGUGGAGGAAUACCAGUGGCGAAGGCGGCCUCCUGGCUUAAUACUGACGCUGAGGUGCGAAAGCGUGGGGAGCAAACAGG